AUGAACGCUAGCGGCAGGCUUAACACAUGCAAGUCGAGGGGCAACACGGGUAGCAAUACCUGGUGGCGACCGGCGCAAGGGUGCGUAACGCGUGAGCAACAUACCCUAUACAGGGGGAUAAUCCAGGGAAACUUGGUCUAAUAUCCCAUAGGAUUUACAGAUGUCAUCAUCUAUAAAUUAAAGCUUCGGUGGUAUAGGAUUGGCUCGCGUGACAUUAGCUAGAUGGUGGGGUAACGGCCUACCAUGGCCAUGAUGUCUAGGGGUUCUGAGAGGAAGACCCCCCACACUGGGACUGAGACACGGCCCAGACUCCUACGGGAGGCAGCAGUGAGGAAUAUUGGACAAUGGAUGGAAAUCUGAUCCAGCCAUGCCGCGUGCAGGAAGACGGCCCUAUGGGUUGUAAACUGCUUUUAUAUGGGAGCAAUAAGGUCUACGCGUAGACCGAUGAGAGUACCAUGUGAAUAAGCAUCGGCUAACUCCGUG
This 483-nucleotide ribosomal RNA is filed under the name uncultured bacterium. RNAcentral describes it as "bacterial SSU rRNA". It matches the Rfam family "Bacterial small subunit ribosomal RNA", at positions 29 to 507 of the family's 1533-position model. The record is from RNAcentral.